This 88-nucleotide non-coding RNA is filed under the name Chloropicon mariensis. Lineage: Eukaryota; Viridiplantae; Chlorophyta; Chloropicophyceae; Chloropicales; Chloropicaceae. The record is from RNAcentral.
ACACAGGGACAUUGAUUCAAAUGAAAUGAAAAAAAAAAGAACAAAUGCAAACCGCAGUCAAUGUUCCUUUCUCUUUUCUUUUUCUUCU